GCGCGCGCAGGUGGUUUCUUAAGUCUGAUGUGAAAGCCCACGGCUCAACCGUGGAGGGUCAUUGGAAACUGGGGAACUUGAGUGCAGAAGAGGAAAGUGGAAUUCCAAGUGUAGCGGUGAAAUGCGUAGAUAUUUGGAGGAACACCAGUGGCGAAGGCGACUUUCUGGUCUGUAACUGACACUGAGGCGCGAAAGCGUGGGGAGCAAACAGGAUUAGAUACCCUGGUAGUCCACGCCGUAAACGAUGAGUGCUAAGUGUUAGAGGGUUUCCGCCCUUUAGUGCUGCACCUAACGCAUUAAGCACUCCGCCUGGGGAGUACGGUCGCAAGACUGAAACUCAAAG
RNAcentral lists this ribosomal RNA (343 nucleotides) under Rossellomorea marisflavi. RNAcentral describes it as "bacterial SSU rRNA". It matches the Rfam family "Bacterial small subunit ribosomal RNA", at positions 565 to 906 of the family's 1533-position model. Lineage: Bacteria; Bacillati; Bacillota; Bacilli; Caryophanales; Bacillaceae. The record is from RNAcentral.